GCCUCACAGCUAGCCCCAAUAAAAAUACAACAAACAAUUAUAAAUAACCCCAAAUUAACUAAAAAUAUAUAAACAAACCAUUUUCUACCCUAGUAUCGGCGAGAGAAAAGGACCACCAGCGCUAUAGAAAUAGUACCGCAAGGGAAAGCUGAAAGAGAAAUGAAAUAAAUAAUAAAGCCACACAAAGCAGAGAUCCUACCUCGUACCUUUUGCAUCAUGAAUCAGCCAGCAAACCCUAGCAAAGAGCACUUUAGUUAGAAACCCCGAAACCGAGUGAGCUACUCCAAGACAGCCUAUUAAUAGGGCCAACCCGUCUCUGUGGCAAAAGAGUGGGAAGAGCUUUGAGUAGAGGUGACAGACCUACCGAACCCGGUUAUAGCUGGUUGCCUGCGAAAUGAAUAGAAGUUCAGCCCCACCCGUACUUUAACCAACCAAGCAUCGCCUGAAUUGCUAACAAAGAUAUGAACGUGGGAGUUAGUCGAAAGGGGUACAGCCCUUUUGAUAAAGAAUACAACCUUAAGCACAGGGUAAAGAUUAUAAUUUACAAGGCAUGAUACUCAAGUGGGCCUAAGAGCAGCCACCUAAGAAGAAAGCGUUAAAGCUCGUGCAUCUAAUUGCCACUAAUACUAAUAGAAAAUCUCAACCCGUGCCAAACUAGCAGGCUGUUCUAUCCAUCAUAGAAACAAUUAUGCUGAUAUGAGUAAUAAGAGAAUAAGACUCUCUCCUAGCACAAGUGUAACUCGGAACGAACCCACACCGAAAACCAACGGACUCAAACAAAGAGAGACCUGGGCCCUAUUACAAAAAACAAGAAAAACGCCCACCACCGCACCGUUAACCUCACACAAGUGUGCCCCCAAGGAAAGACUAAAAGGAGAAGAAGGAACUCGGCAAACACAAGCCUCGCCUGUUUACCAAAAACAUCGCCUCUUGCAAAAUCAAAAAUAAGAGGUCCAGCCUGCCCUGUGACCAAAAUGUUUAACGGCCGCGGUAUUUUGACCGUGCGAAGGUAGCGCAAUCACUUGUCUUUUAAAUGAAGACCUGUAUGAAUGGCACAACGAGGGCUUAGCUGUCUCCUUCCCCCAGUCAAUGAAAUUGAUCCCCCCGUGCAGAAGCGGGGAUAAAUCCAUAAGACGAGAAGACCCUAUGGAGCUUUAGACUACCAAGCAGAUUAAGUCAAUCCCCUUAAACAAAAGAUUAAACCAAAUAACACCUGCUUCCCUGUCUUUGGUUGGGGCGACCACGGGAAAAAGAAUAUCUCCCGCAUGGAACGGAAACACCUUUCUACAACCAAGAGCGACAGCUCUAAAGAACAGAACUUCUGACCUUAAUGAUCCGGCAACGCCGAUCAACGAACCGAGUUACCCUAGGGAUAACAGCGCAAUCCUCUUAUAGAGUCCAUAUCGACAAGAGGGUUUACGACCUCGAUGUUGGAUCAGGGUAUCCUAAUGGUGCAGCCGCUAUUAAGGGUUCGUUUGUUCAACGAUUAAAACCCUACGUGAUCUGAGUUCAGACCGGAGUAAUCCAGGUCAGUUUCUAUCUAUGAAAUGGCUUUUUCUAGUACGAAAGGACCGAAAAAGGGGGGCCCAUGCUUAAGGUACGCCCCCUCCCAACCUAAUGAAAUCAACUAAAAUAGACAAAGGGACAUAAACCUACUUCUAAGAAUAAGACAU
RNAcentral lists this ribosomal RNA (1673 nucleotides) under Pegasus sinensis. RNAcentral's name for it is "16S ribosomal RNA". The stretch from base 93 to 1594 matches the Rfam family "Bacterial large subunit ribosomal RNA". The record is from RNAcentral. Lineage: Eukaryota; Metazoa; Chordata; Actinopteri; Syngnathiformes; Pegasidae.